GCCAAAGCUAGAUCUGAGGUAGAGUAUAACAUAGCCAUAUAGAGCAGUAGGAGAACGGGUCGACAUGUUGUCCCCUUAAUUUAUACCCCCUACCUAGGUACCCCAGUGGCCAUUGUCUGAUGGCAAGUGAAUUUUAUUCAGGGCAACUAAUUUUCAUGUCCAACUUGCCCUAGGGCAAGUGGUCAAAAAAGUAAAGUUACACCACUGCUAAAAGAAGGAUUCUGGACUAAAUAAGGCCAAAAAUCUCAAUUGCCCCUAGGUGCUUUAGCAACAGUGCCUCCCAGACCCCGGCUGCAGCUUGUUCGGCGGCGCUACACACCCCAUCACUCACCUACCCCACUAAAUUGUUGGCACCUCCCCUAGGGCAAAAUCUAACAAUCUGUCUAUGACCUACUGUACAGCACAGCCUUGAACCCACUGUACUGUUGAAGGCAAAGUCUGUCUGCCAGAUAAACUGCAAUGGGUCUAUACUGUAAGAGGGUUUCAAAAAUAUAUGACAACUCCAAUAGGAAAGAAUGCCUUUGUUGGUCGUCGAGGAGUUGUUGUAAGAAAGCUGGAUAGUGCUAUCAAAUACCGUAGUGAUUUUAAGUUUAAAAACAUGGGUAUGAAGCUUACAAUAAACAUAAAAAACAUCCUUUUUUAAAUACCAUGUUUAAUUUUUCAGGGUUUAUUCUGCCAAUUUGAGAAAACAAUGAAAAUUGAAAAAAUAGAGGAUGCGUAGCCAGGUUGAAACAUUUAUUGAACGUUCUCUAACUUAAUAUUUAUUUCUACGAGCUUUCGGCUAUCAGUCUAUAGCCUUCGACGGGUG
Paramuricea clavata is the source of this 808-nucleotide non-coding RNA. Lineage: Eukaryota; Metazoa; Cnidaria; Anthozoa; Malacalcyonacea; Plexauridae. The record is from the annotation of a GenBank genome assembly.